This 427-nucleotide ribosomal RNA is filed under the name uncultured bacterium. Its description in RNAcentral is "bacterial SSU rRNA". It matches the Rfam family "Bacterial small subunit ribosomal RNA", at positions 355 to 796 of the family's 1533-position model. The record is from RNAcentral.
UGGGGAAUCUUGCGCAAUGGGCGAAAGCCUGACGCAGCGACGCCGCGUGUGCGAUGAAGGUCUUCGGAUCGUAAAGCACUGUCGCGAGGGAAAAAGAAAGUGAUGGUACCUCGAGAGGAAGCACCGGCUAACUCUGUGCCAGCAGCCGCGGUAAUACAGAGGGUGCGAGCGUUGUUCGGAAUUAUUGGGCGUAAAGCGCUGGUAGGUGGCUGGACAAGUCGCGUGUGAAAGCUCCCGGCUCAACCGGGAAAGUGCGCGCGAAACUGUGCAACUUGAGUGCCGGAGAGGGUCGCGGAAUUCCCGGUGUAGAGGUGAAAUUCGUAGAUAUCGGGAGGAACACCAGAGGCGAAGGCGGCGACCUGGAAGGUAACUGACACUGAGCAGCGAAAGCGUGGGGAGCAAACAGGAUUAGAUACCCCGGUAGUCC